Molecule: long non-coding RNA, 562 nt
Organism: Peromyscus eremicus (cactus mouse)
Lineage: Eukaryota; Metazoa; Chordata; Mammalia; Rodentia; Cricetidae
Exons: 3
Source: RefSeq, a predicted model, not a curated record
AGACUCCCAAAAUGUUACAGGCGAUUGCUAUUGCACUUGGUUGACCUCCAGAGAUGAAGGAAGGCUUACAUGCAACCCAGGCUGGCCUCACAUUAACUAUAUAAUUGAUGUGUUGGAUCUCAGCCUAGGAUAUGACGCCUCCAACUUUCAGAGUGAGUCUUAACACCUCAAAUGACCUAUCUGGGAUAUUCCUUCACCUCAUCUUAAUAAUCCCUCAUGGGUGCACCAGGCUCCUAAGAGAUUCCAGAUCCUGUCAAGCUGACACCAACCAUCACACUUCUCUUAAUUCGAAUUAAUCGAUUCUGAUUCUGUUAAGUCACUGAUAAGAGAAAUGAGAAGAAGCUGCAACUGAAACAGAGUUUUUAAGACACAUCAAUUAGAAAAAGCAAUACUACCUAGAGGAAAUGGAGACUUUAUAAACAAGUAAGAAAAGGGAAUAUAUAGUUGAAAAGUAGAAAACUUGAAGAAGAAAAACAACAACAACAGCACGAAAUACGGGAACAUAUGGCCAGCAAACUUGUAGAAAGUGAUCAACAUAAUUAAUAAUAAAAAAAAAUCAAAA